This 255-nucleotide ribosomal RNA is filed under the name uncultured bacterium. Its description in RNAcentral is "partial 16S ribosomal RNA". It matches the Rfam family "Bacterial small subunit ribosomal RNA", at positions 524 to 778 of the family's 1533-position model. The record is from RNAcentral.
GACGGAAGGUGCAAGCGUUGCUCGGAAUCACUGGGCGUAAAGGGUGCGUAGGCGGCCGUGCAAGUCUGGCGUGAAAGCCCCGGGCUCAGCCCGGGAAGUGCGCUCGAAACUGCGCGGCUCGAGUGCCGGAGGGGAGAGUGGAAUUCCUGGUGUAGCGGUGAAAUGCGUAGAUAUCUGGAGGAACACCGGUGGCGAAGGCGGCAUUCUGGACCGACAUUGACGCUGAGGAGCGAAAGCCAGGGGAGCAAAGCGGGG